GACGAACGCUGGCGGCGUGCUUAACACAUGCAAGUCGAACGGAAAGGCCCUGCUUUUGUGGGGUGCUCGAGUGGCGAACGGGUGAGUAACACGUGAGUAACCUGCCCUUGACUUUGGGAUAACUUCAGGAAACUGGGGCUAAUACCGGAUAGGAGCUCCUGCUGCAUGGUGGGGGUUGGAAAGUUUCGGCGGUUGGGGAUGGACUCGCGGCUUAUCAGCUUGUUGGUGGGGUAGUGGCUUACCAAGGCUUUGACGGGUAGCCGGCCUGAGAGGGUGACCGGCCACAUUGGGACUGAGAUACGGCCCAGACUCCUACGGGAGGAAGCAGUGGGGAAUAUUGCACAAUGGGCGAAAGCCUGAUGCAGCAACGCCGCGUGCGGGAUGACGGCCUUCGGGUUGUAAACCGCUUUCGCCUGUGACGAAGCGUGAGUGACGGUAAUGGGUAAAGAAGCACCGGCUAACUACGUG
RNAcentral lists this ribosomal RNA (468 nucleotides) under uncultured bacterium. RNAcentral describes it as "partial 16S ribosomal RNA". It matches the Rfam family "Bacterial small subunit ribosomal RNA", at positions 28 to 507 of the family's 1533-position model. The record is from RNAcentral.